This 468-nucleotide ribosomal RNA is filed under the name uncultured bacterium. RNAcentral describes it as "partial 16S ribosomal RNA". It matches the Rfam family "Bacterial small subunit ribosomal RNA", at positions 28 to 507 of the family's 1533-position model. The record is from RNAcentral.
GACGAACGCUGGCGGCGUGCUUAACACAUGCAAGUCGAACGGAAAGGCCCUGCUUUUGUGGGGUGCUCGAGUGGCGAACGGGUGAGUAACACGUGAGUAACCUGCCCUUGACUUUGGGAUAACUUCAGGAAACUGGGGCUAAUACCGGAUAGGAGCUCCUGCUGCAUGGUGGGGGUUGGAAAGUUUCGGCGGUUGGGGAUGGACUCGCGGCUUAUCAGCUUGUUGGUGGGGUAGUGGCCUACCAAGGCUUUGACGGGUAGCCGGCCUGAGAGGGUGACCGGCAACAUUGGGACUGAGAUACGGCCAAGACUCCUACGGGAGGAAGCAGUGGGGAAUAUUGCACAAUGGGCGGAAGCCGGAUGCAGCAACGCCGCGUGCGGGAUGACGGCCUUCGGGUGGUAACCCGCUUUGGCCUGUGACGAAGCGUGAGUGACGGUAAUGGGUAAAGAAGCACCGGCUAACUACGUG